Molecule: long non-coding RNA, 647 nt
Filed under: Homo sapiens (human)
Lineage: Eukaryota; Metazoa; Chordata; Mammalia; Primates; Hominidae
Description: long intergenic non-protein coding RNA 1615
Source: RNAcentral
AACAAAACACUGACCUUGGUCCACAGACAACACCCACGUCCACGUGGUGGGUGGGACUGGCUCCGUCAGAGGAUGGGAAGAUGAGAAGUGCUUGUCGCAGGCCUGGAGAUGGGGACCACCCAGGCAUGCAGGGGAUGCUGCCUCUCCUCCAUCCAACAACAAGCCUGCGUGUGCCCAGCCCCCUCUGGUACACGCAUUGCUCCCCAUCCUCGGCAUUGAUCAAUUGAAAAUAAGACCUUGGAAGAACCCCUUGCAAAGCUGACAUUGUACGAGCCAAGGCAGUGGCCCCGGAGAGGGUCAGCGAGGGGCCUCCACUGUCUGAGUCCGCUCCUGGCAACGCCUGCUCUCUGCACUCAGAGGCCCGGUCCCGGCAGCUGCCACGUUGCUCAGAAGUUCUGGCAGGGGGAGCCUGAAACCCCUGUCUGCUGGCGACACUCCCGGAGCAGCAGGAAAUCUCUACAUUUUAUUUUUUUUCUUAACAGACAAAAGUAUUUGACUCCAGAAUGAUUUCCAGGAAUUACAGUAUGAGAACUUAGUCUUUGAGAUUUUUAUUUUCUUCUUAAAAAAAUAAAAAUGAAAUCAAAGCAGAAGACACUGGUUGAGCAGACAGCACACUAGCACAUUCCACUUCGCAACAAAACCUGCGU